This 500-nucleotide ribosomal RNA is filed under the name uncultured bacterium. RNAcentral's name for it is "partial 16S ribosomal RNA". It matches the Rfam family "Bacterial small subunit ribosomal RNA", at positions 28 to 507 of the family's 1533-position model. The record is from RNAcentral.
GACGAACGCUGGCGGCGUGCUUAACACAUGCAAGUCGAACGGGUCUGCCCUGUUUUUUGCGGGGUGGGUCAGUGGCGAACGGGUGAGUAACACGUGAGUAACCUGCCCCUCACUUCUGGAUAACCGCUUGAAAGGGUGGCUAAUACGGGGUGUUCUGGCUGUGCCGCAUGGUGUGGCUGGGAAAGAUUCACUUUUGUGGUGUUUUGGUGGGGGAUGGGCUCGCGGCCUAUCAGCUUGUUGGUGGGGGGAUGGCCUGCCAAGGCUUUGACGGGUAGCCGGCCUGGGAGGGUUGGCGGUCACACUGGGACUGAGAUACGGCCCAGACUCCUGCGGGAGGCAGCAGUGGGGGGUAUUGCACAAUGGGCGGAAGCCUGAUGCAGCGACGUCGCGUGAGGGAUGGAGGCCUUCGGGUUGUGAACCUCUUUCGCCGGUGAAGAAGGUCCUGCUCUUUGUGGUGGGGUUGACGGUAGCCGGGUUAUGAAGCGCCGGCUAACUACGUG